AAUCUAUCAGUGAUGCCUAGCAGUAUAUAGUAGCAAUCUAACAGAACAAAAAAAUCUAAACCUUUAGGUGCAGUUACUAUGUGAUUUAGUCUUUUUAUCAUGAGUUUUGGCUCAAUGGAGGUCAUGAAGAACUUGUCAAAUUCCAUCGUUAGUCAAAUACUAGAUUGGCUCGACUUGAGUUCAUUUGUGAAUCUCAUGAAAACUUUUUUCCACCAUUCAUAUUUACUUCAGUUGAAGACUUUCUGAACUCAGUCUUGUGAAUCGUAUAGGAUUUCUUUUUACCAAGAUCGAUAGAUUUCAUCUAGAUGCAUUCUACUCUAACAGUGAACCGAACCUACUGUAGCUAACAUACACAGUAAAGACUCGAAUGGCUAGGGACCAAGAAAAUAUACAGUCAAACUCAGUAGCCUCACUAUGAAGAGCCAAUCCACC
This 432-nucleotide long non-coding RNA is filed under the name Elaeis guineensis (African oil palm). Its description in RNAcentral is "long non-coding RNA (EGUI_LNC044702)". The record is from RNAcentral. Lineage: Eukaryota; Viridiplantae; Streptophyta; Magnoliopsida; Arecales; Arecaceae.